CAGUGUCUCAGACAGUGGCUGCCAUUCC
This 28-nucleotide non-coding RNA is filed under the name Mus musculus (house mouse). The record is from RNAcentral. Lineage: Eukaryota; Metazoa; Chordata; Mammalia; Rodentia; Muridae.